AGCAUUGAAAAUAAAACCACAACAA
Molecule: small RNA, 25 nt
Filed under: Bombyx mori (domestic silkworm)
Lineage: Eukaryota; Metazoa; Arthropoda; Insecta; Lepidoptera; Bombycidae
Description: ovarian small RNA-12054
Source: RNAcentral